UCCCUUCGUUGCCUCCGCUCUUCUCUUCUCUGGAACCCUCCCUUGUAUCCUGUCCAACUCUGGCCCCCUACUGCAUUGCGCUUACUUCAAUCGCCUGAUGGGUGGCGAGAUCGGGUAAUAUGGCUUUCUCUCUGUGAUGUGAUCUUGGCGCCUCUUGGUUUUGAGGCCUUCUGAUUUGCUUUUCUCUUCGAUCUUCCUCUUCUUUAAUCUCUGCACGUCAUGUCAAAAAUGGUGGCCUUUGGGCGAUGAUGAACUGGCAAAGACAUACCAUCAAACUCUGAAGAAAGAGGUGUCGAUAAUCUUGUAUUAGCCUCUGAGCCAGCCACUCCAUGUUCUUGUUGACUUUCGUUUUCUGUUCGUCUGAGAAUCACAAAGAACGAUUUUUUUUAUGAUGGUUUUUGCUUGAUUUGUUUGGAUUGGAGAGUGAAAAGAAGGCAAUAAAUUAGAGUCUCUGAUGCGCUUCUUCCUAUAGCGUCGUCAGCGCUGUACGUUGCCAAGAACGAGGGCGGGUUGAGAUUCUGGCAUUUGCCAUUCGUAUCGUAUGGCUUAUGCAUUCAGAUGCUCCACAUCUUAUGCCAUCUCAAAGUCUGUUUUUUUUUUUUUUUCUAAUUUAUCUGACAAAAUCAUUCUUUCCUGCUAACCUGUGCUUGAUUUAAGAUUGAAGUAGUUUUAUUUCACAAAGACAAAAGAUAGUCCACUUUCUUUGCAGGUCUUGUGAAAAUUCUGGUGAAGCAAUUAGUAGCGGACAUCAAGUGCAAGAAUUUACAAGCACAAACAUGUUCAAGCAAGGUUCAGUGUUUGGAUGUAUAGGAACUUGAAAAAUGUAAAGGCUUGAAUAAAGGAGUAUACUUUCUGGCAGAACUCCAGCAGCAAAGAACAAGAAUAUGCAGGUGAAAGAGAUUCCACAACAGCUAAAGCAAUAAAGCAACAUCACAAUGAUGAAAGAGGAUGAGCAGAGAAUGGCUCUAAGAACAUCUUUGGUCAGUAGCUUUGAUGAAGGAUAAAGGAACACAACAAUAUCUCAACAGCAUCUCAAGUACGUCGCAUUGUACUACAUUUAAGGCUGUAGAGGUGUUUCCCAAAAGGCAUCAACCAGCAACACUGUCUUGUAUGAGGGCAACACUUGAAAGGAGUCAAAAGGACCUUAACCUGUAUGCUUCAUAUUUCAUCAAACUGCAAAUCUAGCAUGCAAAAAAACCUCAAAAUUAUAUCAAAAA
Molecule: non-coding RNA, 1217 nt
Organism: Musa acuminata subsp. malaccensis (wild Malaysian banana)
Lineage: Eukaryota; Viridiplantae; Streptophyta; Magnoliopsida; Zingiberales; Musaceae
Source: RefSeq, a predicted model, not a curated record